Molecule: long non-coding RNA, 513 nt
Filed under: Phoenix dactylifera (date palm)
Lineage: Eukaryota; Viridiplantae; Streptophyta; Magnoliopsida; Arecales; Arecaceae
Description: long non-coding RNA (PDAC_LNC001868)
Source: RNAcentral
UUACAUCAAGACAAACAUACAGAUCAUUCGAAACAUUCAUAUUGUCAUAUAAGAUUAAAUUUACAUAAGUUUAGAAUUACAAUGUAUUUUGAAAAAUAUAAGAAAGAUACAUAUAAAACUCAUUAAAUAAUAGUCUAAAAAAUAUCAGGGACCGCAUUCAGCCCCAUCAUCAUCUCUGCGAGCUAUUGAAGUAUCAGGAACCUAAAAAAAAAAAAUUAGAAGUUAGGAAUAUGAAAAUCAUUAACUCAUGCAAAAUAAUAAUUAUGUAUAGUCAUCAAAUACAUAUAGUUAUUUACCUGAGGAGGGAGAAAUCGCUGUAACAUAGAUGAAAUAUGCUCAAGCUGAGACUGCAAAGUUUGUUAGUUCUGUUUNNNNNNNNNNNNNNNNNNNNGAGGGGUGGAGAGGCCAUCGGGAGGGGAGAGGAGCUCGGUUGGGGGCCAAGUGACAGAGGAAAGAACAGAGCCAUGCUCUGUUCUUGAAGGAAAAGAAUAAUAAAAAAAAAGAAGAAGAAGG